This 506-nucleotide ribosomal RNA is filed under the name uncultured Intrasporangiaceae bacterium. RNAcentral's name for it is "bacterial SSU rRNA". It matches the Rfam family "Bacterial small subunit ribosomal RNA", at positions 1 to 507 of the family's 1533-position model. Lineage: Bacteria; Bacillati; Actinomycetota; Actinomycetes; Micrococcales; Intrasporangiaceae. The record is from RNAcentral.
CGGUUCGACGUCGUCAGAGAGUUUCGUAUCCUCGGCGCACGGAGACGGCUGCGGCGUGCUUAACACAUGCAAGUCGAACGGUGAUCUCGCAGCUUGCUGCGGGUGAUCAGUGGCGAACGGGUGAGUAACACGUGAGUAACCUGCCCUUGACUCUGGGAUAACUCCGGGAAACCGGUGCUAAUACUGGAUAUGACUCUGGCCCGCAUGGGUUGGGGUGGAAAGUUUUUCGGUCAAGGAUGGACUCGCGGCCUAUCAGCUUGUUGGUGGGGUAAUGGCCUACCAAGGCGACGACGGGUAGCCGGCCUGAGAGGGCGACCGGCCACACUGGGACUGAGACACGGCCCAGACUCCUACGGGAGGCAGCAGUGGGGAAUAUUGCACAAUGGGCGAAAGCCUGAUGCAGCGACGCCGCGUGAGGGAUGACGGCCUUCGGGUUGUAAACCUCUUUCAGCUCUGAAGAAGCGAAAGUGACGGUAGGAGCAGAAGAAGCACCGGCUAACUACGUG